GCUUACGGCCAUACCACCCUGAACACUCCCGCUCUCGUUUGAUCUCGGCAGUAAACCAGGGUCGGGCCUGGUCAGUACUUGGAUUGGAGACAUCCUGGGAAUACCAGGUGCUGUAAGCU
Ribosomal RNA from Sphaeramia orbicularis (orbiculate cardinalfish), 119 nucleotides. NCBI's taxonomy places the organism in Eukaryota, Metazoa, Chordata, Actinopteri, Kurtiformes, Apogonidae. The record is from Ensembl.